UACGGAAGGCAGCAGUGGGGAAUUUUGGACAAUGGGCGAAAGCCUGAUCCAGCCAUGCCGCGUGCAGGAUGAAGGCCUUCGGGUUGUAAACUGCUUUUGUACGGAACGAAAAGCCUCUUUCUAAUAAAGAGGGGUCAUGACGGUACCGUAAGAAUAAGCACCGGCUAACUACGUGCCAGCAGCCGCGGUAAUACGUAGGGUGCAAGCGUUAAUCGGAAUUACUGGGCGUAAAGCGUGCGCAGGCGGUUUUUGUAAGACAGAGGUGAAAUCCCCGGGCUCAACCUGGGAACUGCCUUUGUGACUGCAAGGCUGGAGUGCGGCAGAGGGGGAUGGAAUUCCGCGUGUAGCAGUGAAAUGCGUAGAUAUGCGGAGGAACACCGAUGGGCGAAGGGCAAUCCCCUGGGGCCUGCACUGACGCUCAUGCACGAAAGCGUGGGGAGCAAACAGGAUUAGAUACC
Molecule: ribosomal RNA, 458 nt
Filed under: uncultured bacterium
Lineage: Bacteria
Description: bacterial SSU rRNA
Rfam family: Bacterial small subunit ribosomal RNA
Source: RNAcentral